Molecule: ribosomal RNA, 253 nt
Filed under: uncultured bacterium
Lineage: Bacteria
Description: partial 16S ribosomal RNA
Rfam family: Bacterial small subunit ribosomal RNA
Source: RNAcentral
UACGAAGGGGGCUGGCGUUGUUCGGACUUACUGGGCGUAAAGCGCGCGCAGGUGGUCAUUCAAGUCAGAGGUGAAAGCCCAGGGCUCAACCCUGGAACGGCCUUUGAGACUAGAGGACUUGGGUACGGGAGAGGUGAGUGGAAUUCCGAGUGUAGAGGUGAAAGUCGUAGAUAUUCGGAAGAACACCAGUGGCGAAGGCGGCUCACUGGCCCGUUACCGACACUCAGGCGCGACAGCGUGGGAAGCAAACAGG